GAUGAACGCUGGCGGCGUGCCUAAUACAUGCAAGUCGAGCGAACAGACGCGGAGCUUGCUCCUCUGACGUUAGCGGCGGACGGGAGAGUAACACGUGUAUAAUCUACCUAUAAGACUGGGAUAACUUCGGGAAACCGGAGCUAAUACCGGAUAAUAUAUUGAACCGCAUGGUUCAAUAGUGAAAGACGGCUUUGCUGGCACGUAUAGAUGCAUCUCCGCGGCUUUAGCUGGUUGUGAAGUUAACGGCUUACGAAGGCUACCAUGCGUAGCCGACCUGCGAGGGGGAUCGCCGGCACUGGAGCGUGGACACGCUCCAUGCUCCUACGGGAGGCAGCAGUAUGGAACCGUACGCAAUGGGGGAAAGCCUUACGGAGCAGCGCCGCGUGAGUGAUGAAGGUCUUCGGAUCGUAAAGCUCUGUUAUUAGGGGAGAACAAAUGUGUAAGUAAAUGUGCAGGGCGUGACGGUACCUAGUCAGAAAGCCACGGCUAACUACGUG
RNAcentral lists this ribosomal RNA (497 nucleotides) under uncultured bacterium. RNAcentral describes it as "partial 16S ribosomal RNA". It matches the Rfam family "Bacterial small subunit ribosomal RNA", at positions 28 to 507 of the family's 1533-position model. The record is from RNAcentral.